This 1212-nucleotide ribosomal RNA is filed under the name Acinetobacter baumannii. RNAcentral's name for it is "bacterial SSU rRNA". It matches the Rfam family "Bacterial small subunit ribosomal RNA", at positions 42 to 1251 of the family's 1533-position model. The record is from RNAcentral. Lineage: Bacteria; Pseudomonadati; Pseudomonadota; Gammaproteobacteria; Moraxellales; Moraxellaceae.
GCAGCUUACACAUGCAAGUCGAGCGGGGGAAGGUAGCUUGCUACUGGACCUAGCGGCGGACGGGUGAGUAAUGCUUAGGAAUCUGCCUAUUAGUGGGGGACAACAUCUCGAAAGGGAUGCUAAUACCGCAUACGUCCUACGGGAGAAAGCAGGGGAUCUUCGGACCUUGCGCUAAUAGAUGAGCCUAAGUCGGAUUAGCUAGUUGGUGGGGUAAAGGCCUACCAAGGCGACGAUCUGUAGCGGGUCUGAGAGGAUGAUCCGCCACACUGGGACUGAGACACGGCCCAGACUCCUACGGGAGGCAGCAGUGGGGAAUAUUGGACAAUGGGGGGAACCCUGAUCCAGCCAUGCCGCGUGUGUGAAGAAGGCCUUAUGGUUGUAAAGCACUUUAAGCGAGGAGGAGGCUACUUUAGUUAAUACCUAGAGAUAGUGGACGUUACUCGCAGAAUAAGCACCGGCUAACUCUGUGCCAGCAGCCGCGGUAAUACAGAGGGUGCGAGCGUUAAUCGGAUUUACUGGGCGUAAAGCGUGCGUAGGCGGCUUAUUAAGUCGGAUGUGAAAUCCCCGAGCUUAACUUGGGAAUUGCAUUCGAUACUGGUGAGCUAGAGUAUGGGAGAGGAUGGUAGAAUUCCAGGUGUAGCGGUGAAAUGCGUAGAGAUCUGGAGGAAUACCGAUGGCGAAGGCAGCCAUCUGGCCUAAUACUGACGCUGAGGUACGAAAGCAUGGGGAGCAAACAGGAUUAGAUACCCUGGUAGUCCAUGCCGUAAACGAUGUCUACUAGCCGUUGGGGCCUUUGAGGCUUUAGUGGCGCAGCUAACGCGAUAAGUAGACCGCCUGGGGAGUACGGUCGCAAGACUAAAACUCAAAUGAAUUGACGGGGGCCCGCACAAGCGGUGGAGCAUGUGGUUUAAUUCGAUGCAACGCGAAGAACCUUACCUGGCCUUGACAUACUAGAAACUUUCCAGAGAUGGAUUGGUGCCUUCGGGAAUCUAGAUACAGGUGCUGCAUGGCUGUCGUCAGCUCGUGUCGUGAGAUGUUGGGUUAAGUCCCGCAACGAGCGCAACCCUUUUCCUUACUUGCCAGCAUUUCGGAUGGGAACUUUAAGGAUACUGCCAGUGACAAACUGGAGGAAGGCGGGGACGACGUCAAGUCAUCAUGGCCCUUACGGCCAGGGCUACACACGUGCUACAAUGGUCGGUACAAAGGGUUGCU